Molecule: non-coding RNA, 3280 nt
Organism: Pseudopodoces humilis (Tibetan ground-tit)
Lineage: Eukaryota; Metazoa; Chordata; Aves; Passeriformes; Paridae
Source: RefSeq, a predicted model, not a curated record
AGCCUCCGGAGCCGCCGCGCCGCUCUCGGCGUCCCGGGCUCAAUACAGCGUGCCGGGCAUCCUGCAUUUCCUGCAGCACGAGUGGGGCCGCUUCGAGGCGGAGCGCGCCGAGUGGGAGGCGGAGCGGGCGGAGCUGCAGGCCCAGAUUGCCUUUCUUCAAGGUGAAAGGAAAGGACAGGAGAAUUUGAAGAAGGAUCUAGUGCGGAGAAUCAAAAUGCUGGAAUAUGCGCUCAAACAGGAAAGGGCUAAAUACCAUAAAUUAAAAUAUGGCACAGAACUGAAUCAGGGAGAUAUGAAGCCACCGAACUAUGAUUCUGAUGAAGGGAAUGAGACAGAGAUUCAGCCACAACAGAACAGUCAGCUAAUAUGGAAACAAGGACGACAGCUGUUAAGACAGUAUCUACAAGAAGUGGGCUACACCGACACGAUAUUGGAUGUGAAAUCAAAACGAGUGCGAGCUUUAUUGGGCCUCUCAAGUGAUGCUUCAGAAAAAGAAAACAGAAAUCAAGAGCCAAUGGUAAAUGGCACAGAGGGCCAGAUUAAAGAAAACGCAAUGAUCGGGAAACCUGAAUUGACUGACUCUGCCUCUCUGCUAGAGACCUUCAAGUUUCUUGAAAAUGCAGCUGCAGAUUUCAGUGAUGAGGAAGAUGAAGAAGAUAUUGAAGGAAGAGAGAAAACAAUCAUUGAUACUGCAACAAUUGUAAGGAAAAGAGUGUUAUCUGAUAGCAGUGAAGACAGAGAUACAGAAGAAGCUUUGAAAGAGUUUGACUUUUUGGCUACCUCAGAUGAUGGUGAUGGGGAAUCAAGAAGUUCGGGAGAUGGAACAGACUGGGAAAAGGAAGACCAGUGUCUCAUGCCUGAAGCCUGGAAUGUCGACCAGGGAGUUAUAACCAAACUCAAGGAACAAUACAAAAAGGAGCGCAAGGGGAAAAAGGGGGUGAAGAGAAAAACUACCGAAGAUAUGUUUCAGCCUCAAUCCUAUAUAAAACAGUCAAAACAGGGAUGUGGGAAAAUGAUGGAGCAAAGCACAGGGCCCAACAGGUCAAAGCUGCAAGAUAUGCUUGCAAACUUGAGAGAUGUUGAUGAUCUCCCUUCAUUACAACCAUCUGUUGCACCUUCUUCUAGGCCCAGUAGCUCAAGGCUCAUUGAACAUGAGAUAAACAGGACGGAUGAAGUGGAAGCUUUAACAUUCCCUCCAUCCUCAGGGAAAUCUUUCAUUAUGGGAACAGAUGAAGCCCUUGAAAAUGAACUGGGUCUUGGAGAACUGGCAGGCCUUACUGUAGCAAAUGAGGCAGAUUCGCUGACUUAUGAUAUAGCCAACAAUAAGGAUGCAUUGAGAAAGACUUGGAACCCCAAAUUUACGUUAAGAAGUCACUUUGAUGGAAUAAGAGGUCUCGCUUUUCAUCCGGUUGAACCAGUCUUAAUAACAGCUUCAGAGGACCAUACAUUAAAAAUGUGGAAUUUACAAAAAACAGCCCCAGCAAAAAAGAGUGCUUCUCUUGAUGUAGAGCCAAUAUAUACCUUCCGAGCACAUAAUGGACCAGUGCUCUGUGUGGUGAUGAGCAGUAAUGGUGAACAGUGCUACAGUGGGGGAACGGAUGGCCUCAUCCAUGGCUGGAACACGACCAACCCAAACAUUGACCCCUAUGACUCUUACGAUCCUUCUGUUCUAAGAGGUGCUUUUGUAGGCCAUACUGAUGCAGUGUGGGGUCUGGUUUACAGUGGAGCUCACCAGCGUCUGCUAUCCUGUUCAGCAGACGGCACUAUACGUUUAUGGAAAGCUACAGAAAUUGCUCCAGCUCUCAAUAUAUUUAAUGAUAAUCAAGAAAUGGGAAUCCCUUCAUCAGUAGACCUUGUGAGCAGUGACCCAAGCCUCAUGGUAGCAUCAUUUAACAGUGGACACACUAGCAUUUUUAACAUGGAGACACGGCAACGAAUUCUUACCCUGGAAUCCAGUAUGGAUACUAUCAGUUCUUCCUGUCAGAUAAACAGAGUCAUCAGCCAUCCAACUCUUCCAAUUAGUAUCACUGCUCAUGAAGACAGACACAUCAAAUUCUACGACAACAAUACAGGAAAACUGAUCCACUCCAUGGUAGCUCACUUAGAUGCAGUUACAAGUUUAGCUGUUGAUCCUAAUGGCUUGUAUUUGAUGUCUGGCAGCCACGACUGCUCAAUUCGCUUGUGGAAUCUUGAAAGCAAGACCUGCAUCCAAGAAUUUACUGCUCAUCGCAAAAAAUUUGAUGAGUCCAUUCACGAUGUGGCAUUCCACCCAUCCAAAUGUUAUAUUGCCAGUGCAGGAGCAGAUGCCCUGGCUAAAGUGUUUGUAUGACGGAGUGCUUCCCAUUCAACUUUAGCUUUGUAUAUAUUUAACCAGCUGCACAAAAGAGAAGAGGAGGGCAUGAGUUGUUUUAUCUUGCCCUGUAAUUCAGAGAAUGUUUUACCAUCCAAUUGUCCUGAUUGUGUGAGGAAGGUUUUAACCCCAAGCCCAAAACAACACCCCAGACCAGACACUACCCUUUCUGCAGAGAUUAAGUGGAUAUGAGCAAGCAGGCAGACUAUUUCACCAAUAAGAAGAUGUAGACCACGGAAGACUGUCCCAAAUUACCACAUAUUUUGAGAUGCAAUUUGGUGGAAAGGCUUUCUCCAAAACAGGGCACAAGUAGGCUUUUCUGACUUAUGUGAUGCCAGUAUUUGCCCUUGUAACAUUUGUACCAAAUUGCUCCAUGGGAAAUACUCUAAAGUUCUCUAACCUCUCACCCCACUCAUCAUCAUGGGAAGGACACUCCUUCUCAUGUAGCCUCAUUUCCAAGCAGCUUCUUUCUUCCUGUGCUUCAUGUCCUAAACCUUCUUCAACCAAACCCAGAAGAACAAAAUUUUCAAGUGUUGAAGAUGCAUUGCAAAGGAGGGCCUCAGUCACUAAAAAAUGAGCCCAAAGAGGUGACCCAGCCAUGUCCUGCUGCAGAGGAGACUAGAGAAGAUGGCAAGAGAGAUGAGGUCUCAGGUCGGUGGGUUACCAAAGAAUCUUGAUCUCAAACCAGUGCAAGUGAGAGGACUGAAGGCUGAGCUUCUGGAAAACCAAACCAUGGUUGGGUGGCAAAGGCACCUGCAGAGCACGCAGCAGGACUGCAUCAAAGUAGCUGGACUGGUGUUGAGUGAUGGAACUGAGAAACCAGACACAGCAAAUGAUUGGGAUUACUGGUACAGGCAAAAAGUCCUCCUGAGGUUCAGCUUCUGGUACCCGCAUCAGCUCGCUGAGGGUUGUAGCUGUUGGCAUGUGGGA